Molecule: long non-coding RNA, 597 nt
Organism: Helianthus annuus (common sunflower)
Lineage: Eukaryota; Viridiplantae; Streptophyta; Magnoliopsida; Asterales; Asteraceae
Exons: 5
Source: RefSeq, a predicted model, not a curated record
AACAAUGCUCCUUCGUUAUUAAAGUCGAUUGAGGACUAUGAUCCUAUAUUUUUCGAAUUGUUCGUCGACCAAAAACAGUUAUGGAUCCUAAAAACAACUCUCAUUCGUUGUUAAAGUUGAUUGAGGAAUAUGAUCUUAUAUUUUUGGUGUUUAUUUUGGAUGGUCCGGAGUUUUUGGCUGCAACUAUGUUGGACAGAGAUAUGCUUGCUAUUGCUGUAAAUUGGUACCAUGUCGGUUGGUUUUGCUUGGUAAGAUUUGUGACGAUGCGUCGGACAAACAACAUUGGGAAAAUAUACAGCCUUGAGCCUUGAUGACCAAUGUAUAUCUCUAUUUGAGGAAUUCUCCAAAGAUCCAGAGCCGAUUGUUUCAUAGAGCUGUGAAGUUGCGUUAAACAUACUGGAUUUUGAAUGAUCCGACAAACCAUUCGAGGUACUUGGAAGAUUAAGUCUCUUAUCUGGGUGGUUGUUACAGGUUUAGGAUGUUAAAUGAUUUUGGAUGUACUCUGCGAUGUCGAUGAUGCAGAGAUGUUGGUGAAGCUCAGGUUAACAACUUCAUGUGUAUAUUUUAAUGAAUAAAGUUUUUGUUGUUUAUAUUUUC